This 802-nucleotide ribosomal RNA is filed under the name uncultured bacterium. Its description in RNAcentral is "bacterial SSU rRNA". It matches the Rfam family "Bacterial small subunit ribosomal RNA", at positions 8 to 798 of the family's 1533-position model. The record is from RNAcentral.
AGAGUUUGAUCCUGGCUCAGAACGAACGCUGGCGGCGCGUUUUAAACAUGCAAGUCGAACGGCAAGGGGCACUUGUGCCCCCUAGAGUGGCGAACGGGUGAGUAACACGUAGAUAAUCUACCCUACAGUUUGGGAUAGUCCAUGGAAACAUGGGGUAAUACCGGAUGUGACUGGUUUUUCAUAAGAGAAGCCAAGGAAAGGCGCUAAGGCGCCGCUGUGGGAUGAGUCUGCGCUCCAUUAGCUAGUUGGUGGGGUAAUGGCCUACCAAGGCUGCGAUGGAUAGCCGGCCUGAGAGGGUGAUCGGCCACAUUGGGACUGAGACACGGCCCAGACUCCUACGGGAGGCAGCAGUUAAGAAUCUUCCGCAAUGGACGCAAGUCUGACGGAGCGACGCCGCGUGAACGAUGAAGGCCGUGAGGUUGUAAAGUUCUUUUCUGGGGGAGGAAUAAUGAUGGCAGGGAAUGGUCAUCAGAUGACGUUAACCCAGGAAUAAGCCCCGGCUAACUACGUGCCAGCAGCCGCGGUAACACGUAGGGGGCGAGCGUUGUUCGGAAUUAUUGGGCGUAAAGGGUGCGCAGGCUGCAUAGGUAGUCUGAUGUAAAAUGUCUCGGCUUAACCGAGGCCUGCCAUUGGAAACUGCUAUGCUAGAGUACAGGAGGGGGAGUUGGAAUUCCAGGUGUAGGGGUGAAAUCUGUAGAUAUCUGGAGGAACAUCGGUGGCGAAGGCGAACUUCUGGCCAUGUACUGACGCUGAGGCACGAAGGCGUGGGGAGCAAACAGGUUUAGAUACCCUGGUAGUCCAC